RNAcentral lists this ribosomal RNA (253 nucleotides) under uncultured bacterium. RNAcentral's name for it is "partial 16S ribosomal RNA". It matches the Rfam family "Bacterial small subunit ribosomal RNA", at positions 524 to 776 of the family's 1533-position model. The record is from RNAcentral.
UACGGAGGAUCCAAGCGUUAUCCGGAAUCAUUGGGUUUAAAGGGUCCGUAGGCGGUUUUGUAAGUCAGUGGUGAAAGCCCCUCGCUCAACGAUGGAACGGCCAUUGAUACUGCUAGACUUGAAUUUCUAGGAAGUAACUAGAAUAUGCAGUGUAGCGGUGAAAUGCUUAGAUAUUACAUGGAAUACCAAUUGCGAAGGCAGCUUACUGCAAGUGGAUUGACGCUGAGGGACGAAAGCGUGGGGAGCGAACAGG